CAUUGACGGUGACGUUCAAUUGAUUAACGGAACACAUCUUAAUUACACUGUGAUUCCUUGUCACUUGAUUCCAACAAAGUAACGAACUUCUAUCGUAAGGAUUUACGCAAUAUUUUGUAUUCCAGUAAUUAUUACAGCUACCCCAAGGACAUCACAGCAGCGGCGUAACCGAUACCUUUAAAAAGUGGAGCAAUUUUAAAAACACCCAAACCGCCGACUGUUAACAUUUGACCAAGAGCUAAUUCCAUGAAGAACAUUGGUAUACCAGCUAAUACCAAUGUUAAGAAAUACGGGAUCAAGAAAGCACCACCUCCGUUUUUAUAACAGAGGGAAGGGGGUAAUGGUUCUUCAAGGGGAGGAACUUAACGAUGGAAAUGAGAACGCGGGAAUCGACCUUGCUUUCGAACCAAUCCACCACCAUGCGUUGCUUGUAGUUGACUGAUGCUUCAUGUUCAUGGUAGGGAGUGGAAUCCGGAUGGAUUUAGGGCAGGAGGUUUAGGGAUACGCUCGGAGUGAGUAGUUCCAUGAGUCUAUCCGGAUCUACGUCUGCCUAUAAGCUACCAGGAAAAUGACGCUUCAUACGUGGACUUGGUAUCGUCCCAUUAAUAUCAAUAUUAUGUAUUAGUCACACGCAUCAAAAAAAGAUCUUAAUAAGAAUUUUUUUUUUAAUUUAAUAAUUAGUAUGAAAUAUAUGCAAUAUGUUUCUAUAGAUUUAUCUCAAGACUAUUGUUUUUUA
Molecule: long non-coding RNA, 736 nt
Organism: Vespula vulgaris
Lineage: Eukaryota; Metazoa; Arthropoda; Insecta; Hymenoptera; Vespidae
Exons: 3
Source: RefSeq, a predicted model, not a curated record